RNAcentral lists this ribosomal RNA (1986 nucleotides) under human gut metagenome. RNAcentral describes it as "bacterial LSU rRNA". It matches the Rfam family "Bacterial large subunit ribosomal RNA", at positions 502 to 2499 of the family's 2925-position model. The record is from RNAcentral.
CGUGAGGGAAAGGUGAAAAGAACCCCGGGAGGGGAGUGAAAUAGAACCUGAAACCAUGUGCCUACAACCGAUCAAAGCACCUUAUGUGUGUGAUGAUGUGCUUUUUGUAGAACGAGCCAACGAGUUACGGUAUGUAGCGAGGUUAAGUACUUAAGGUACGGAGCCGAAGGGAAACCAAGUCUUAAUAGGGCGACUAGUUGCAUGCUGUAGACCCGAAACCGGGUGACCUAUCCAUGGCCAGGUUGAAGCGGGGGUAAAACCCCGUGGAGGACCGAACCACGUUGCUGUUGAAAAAGCAUGGGAUGAGCUGUGGAUAGCGGAGAAAUUCCAAUCGAACUCGGAUAUAGCUGGUUCUCCUCGAAAUAGCUUUAGGGCUAGCGUCGACAAAUGUGAGUAGUGGAGGUAGAGCACUGAAUGGGCUAGGGGGCAUAGCGCUUACCGAACCUUAUCAAACUCCGAAUGCCACAUACUAUUAGUCCGGCAGUCAGACUGCGAAAGAUAAGUUCCGUAGUCAAAAGGGAAACAGCCCAGAUCGUCAGCUAAGGUCCCAAAGUGUAAGUUAAGUGGAAAAGGAUGUGGGAUUUCUAAGACAACUAGGAUGUUGGCUUAGAAGCAGCCAUUCAUUAAAAGAGUGCGUAAUAGCUCACUAGUCAAGAGAUCCUGCGCCGAAAAUGUCCGGGGCUCAAACUUACCACCGAAGCUACGGGUUCACACUUAGUGUGAGCGGUAGAGGAGCGUUGUAAUCGGGCUGAAGUCGUACCGUAAGGAGCGGUGGACUGAUUACAAGUGAGAAUGUUGGCAUUAGUAGCGAGAUGUAGGCGAGAAUCCUACAGGCCGAAUAUCUAAGGUUUCCUGGGUAAAGUUUGUCUUCCCAGGGUUAGUCGGGACCUAAGGCGAGGCCGAAAGGCGUAGUCGAUGGACAAUUGGUUGAUAUUCCAAUACCACUAUCAUCGUUAUUACCGAGGGUGUGACGGAGAAGGAUAGGAUGUGCUAGCUAUUGGAUGCUAGUCGAAGCGUUUAGGGAGUUAGGGUAGGCAAAUCCGCUCUAACAAUUCUGAGGCGUUAUAGGGAAGGUUCUACGGAACCGAAGUAUCUGAUUCCAUGCUUCCAAGAAAAGCAUCUAGGGAGAGAAGUAGUGCCCGUACCGCAAACCGACACAGGUAGAUGAGGAGAGAAUCCUAAGGCCGACGGAAGAAUUGCAGUUAAGGAACUAGGCAAAUUGACCCCGUAACUUCGGGAGAAGGGGUGCCUACGAAAGUAGGCCGCAGAGAAUAGGCACAAGCAACUGUUUAACAAAAACACAGGUCUCUGCUAAAGCGUAAGCUGAUGUAUAGGGGCUGACGCCUGCCCGGUGCUGGAAGGUUAAGGGGAACACUUAGCGCAAGCGAAGGUGUGAACUUAAGCCCCAGUAAACGGCGGCCGUAACUAUAACGGUCCUAAGGUAGCGAAAUUCCUUGUCAGGUAAGUUCUGACCCGCACGAAUGGCGUAAUGACUUGGGCACUGUCUCAACUGUGAAUCCGGCGAAGUUGUAGUGCGAGUGAAGAUGCUCGCUACCCGCGAUUGGACGGAAAGACCCCGUAGAGCUUUACUGUAGCUUAGCAUUGAAUUUCGGUAUUGUCUGUACAGGAUAGGUGGGAGACUGGGAAAUCAGGGCGUCAGCCUUGAUGGAGUCGUCCUUGGGAUACCACCCUGACAGUACUGAGGUUCUAACUGGAUGCCAUGAAUCUGGUGACAGGACAUUGUUAGGUGGGCAGUUUGACUGGGGCGGUCGCCUCCUAAAAAGUAACGGAGGCGCCCAAAGGUUCCCUCAGAACGGUCGGAAAUCGUUCGAAGAGUGCAAAGGCAGAAGGGAGCCUGACUGCGACACCCACAAGUGGAGCAGGGACGAAAGUCGGGCUUAGUGAUCCGGUGGUACCUCGUGGGAGGGCCAUCGCUCAACGGAUAAAAGCUACCUCGGGGAUAACAGGCUGAUCUCCCCCAAGAGU